This 253-nucleotide ribosomal RNA is filed under the name uncultured bacterium. Its description in RNAcentral is "partial 16S ribosomal RNA". It matches the Rfam family "Bacterial small subunit ribosomal RNA", at positions 524 to 776 of the family's 1533-position model. The record is from RNAcentral.
UACGAAGGGGGCUAGCGUUGCUCGGAAUCACUGGGCGUAAAGCGCACGUAGGCGGAUUGCUAAGUCAGGGGUGAAAUCCUGGAGCUCAACUCCAGAACUGCCUUUGAUACUGGUGAUCUUGAGUCCGGGAGAGGCGAGUGGAAUUCCUGGUGUAGCGGUGGAAUGCGCAGAUAUCAGGAGGAACACCAAUAGCGAAGGCAGCUCGCUGGGACGUUACUGACACUGAGGCGCGAAAGCGUGGGGAGCGAACAGG